Molecule: long non-coding RNA, 2415 nt
Organism: Salvia miltiorrhiza (redroot sage)
Lineage: Eukaryota; Viridiplantae; Streptophyta; Magnoliopsida; Lamiales; Lamiaceae
Exons: 3
Source: RefSeq, a predicted model, not a curated record
CAAGUUUAAGCUUUAAACAUCUAUAGCCUUGAAUCAAGAGCAAAUUUUGGAGGAGUUUUCAAGAUUUGAAGCAAAAGAGGAGAUUUUUAUUUUUGUUCAAAUCCUUGAGUAAGUGAUGAAUCCUUUUAGAUCUAGACUUAAAUGUGUUGUAUAUGUGUAUAUAUGGAUAGAUCAAGCAAGAAAACACCCCUAUCCCUUCUUUGUGAUUUUCGAAAAUUUGGGUCUUUUACCCUUCAAAAAAUUUUUUCUUUUCCUUUUCUUAAAUUGAUGUUAUUUAAAUACUAUUGGGUGCCUAAUUAGUCUAUUUCCAUGUGUAGAUAAUUGAAUUAAAAAGAGAUAUGAGAUUUGAAAUAGUUUAGUUUGUGUAAAUUUGGGAAGUUUUGUAUUUGAGGCUUGAUUGAUGAAUUGAUGGAUGAUAUAUGCUAUUGAGAGUGUUUAUAUGAGAUUUGAUGGAUUGGAUUGAUGGUUGAAAUUGAUUAGUAAUUUUUGAUAUGAGUUAGUUUGAUGUAAUUUGGGUAAAAUUGAUUCUAUGGUUUAAUUUACUAAUUGGUUGUUUAUUUAUGCUAUUAAGUGUGUCAAUUUGAUAGAUCUAAGGUUGGAUUAAUGAUUUAUGCAUGUUUACAAAUUUUCAAAAAGUUUAGUUUGUUAAAAAUUGGGACUUUGUGAUCUAUGUGUUAAUUGAUUAAAUUGGCUAAGUUUAAUUGUUAUUAAGCAUGAUAGAAAUGAUAAUUAGGGAUCAAUUUGGUUAAUUGUCAAGAAUGCCUAAAAUUGGUUAAGUUUAGUUUGCUAGUAAUUGGGAACUUUUGAGUAAUGAAAUAAAUACUUGAAUUGAUGAUGUUUAUAUGAUAGUUAGACUACUAGCAAGGAGAAAGCAUGAUUAAAUUGGUUAAUGAUGUUGAUUUGUGAAAAUUUUCCGAGUUUAGUUUGCGUGCAUACAUGAGAUCCUGUAUAUAAGAUGAGUUAUGAGCCAAGCAUGUCUAUAUGUGGCUUUUUGAUGAUUAUUUGAGCUUAUAUAUGCAAUAUGAGAUGAAACGGACCAACCCCUAAUGACCUAUGUGUUGGCCGAAUGUAGGGAGAAAAAGGGGAAGUCGAUGUUUGAAUUUUCUUGAGUUAUAUGAUUAUGUAUUUAUGUUAUUGUGUAUUAUGUGAGCUUAAUUUGAAUUUUUGAGAAUUUUGCAUCGAAGAAAUCCAAAGUCUAGGUAUAAUUGCUUGUAUGUUCAAGUUUGGAGUCAUUUUAUGACCUUUUAUACCUACUGUUUCGUUGGGUUCUUGUUACCCAAAGACCUUGAAAAUUUUAUGGUAAGAUUAAAUAAGAGUCAGGAGCAUAGCGGUAAAAUUUCACGUCAAUUGGACUUUGUUUAUUAUUUUUAUAAAAUAGAAAACUAAAACUGCUACCUGCUGCCGAAAUGUUCGGUGAGUAUCCAAUAGAGUCACCUCUUCCAGUGUCCUUUCCUUCCCUAACUUUUUGGAGCCUAAAUUUUUAUUUUUAAGACAUGAGUGUCUUAUAUAAGUACCCACCAAAUUUCAAGCCUUUUCGGCAACGUUUACUAUUUUGCAAAAAUCAAAGUUUUCAAUUGCUCAAAACUGCCGAAUAUGGUAGACUGUAGGAAAACAGUCAUAUCUCCUAAACUACUUGGAGUUUUUCAUCCUACUUUUUUUUUGAAUGAAACUAGACUCAAAGAGGUUUUAAAUGGUAUAGGUCAUGACUCCAGUGGAGCUCUGUACCGAAUCUGCUGAAGUCUUUAAAUCGAAUCAGUGCAGAAUGAUGUUUGUUUGUGACAUGUCUAUGUGUGAAUUUAUAUGUUUAUGUGAUUAUGCUUGUUUAUGUGCUUGAUUGCUAUGGGUUUAAUUCGAGUUGAGUGUUAAGUCGAGAGUAGGACUUGUGAAUCCUUAGGAGUUAAGUAUACCUAGGGAUUGAGAUUUAGUUGGGUAAAUAGAAGAUGAGUGAUAAGUUAAAGUUUGAGAUGAGAUUGAAUCUUAGUAAAUGAGUUUCUAACUGAGGUUUAUCUUAUCUCAUGAACCACUCCGACGUUGUGACAUCUGAAUAUACAAGCAGAGGACGGAGGUAAGAUCGUCCAAGUACUACGAGAGUAAGCUAAGUUUGUCAGGAUAAGCGAGAAGGAGGAAGAUCGGUCUGGUGCUGGCGGGGACUUAUUUUGGAUGACAUUGUUCCUUUUACCGUAUUUAUAUUACAUACGGUAGCUUUUUGAUGUCGAUGUUUAUAUUUUGGACUUAGUCAAGAAGUAUACUCUCGGCUAUAUGUCUUCAUACAUAUAGUCUGUUCACGUUUUGCUGCGAGACUCUGUAAAUUGUGAACCUUUGUGAAUUUUUAACUAUGUCCGCUUUGUAAACUUUGUCGAGAAUCCUUGUACUUUUGAACUUAUGAAGCCGAUAAUAUUUGUGUCUUUGAGAUGA